CUGAGCCUGCUGCUGUUCCUGCUCCAGUGCCUGAGACCAAACCAGACGCCGAGCCUGCUGCUGUUGCUGCUCCAGCGCCUGAGACCAAACCAGACACCGAGCCUGCUGCUGUUGCUGCUCCAGCACCUGAAACCAAACCAGAUGCCGAGCCUGCUGCUGUUGCUGCUCCAGCGCCUGAAACCAAAUCAGAUGCUGCUGCUACUGAUCCAGCUCCUGGAACCAAGGCAGAUGCUGCUGCCGCAGAUCCAGCACCUGGAGCCAAGGCAGACGCUGCUGCUCCAGUAGAGAACUCUGCCGACAAAGGUGGAAGCCAGGAGAGCCAGCCCG
This 327-nucleotide long non-coding RNA is filed under the name Brachypodium distachyon (stiff brome). Its description in RNAcentral is "long non-coding RNA (BDIS_LNC004806)". Lineage: Eukaryota; Viridiplantae; Streptophyta; Magnoliopsida; Poales; Poaceae. The record is from RNAcentral.